RNAcentral lists this ribosomal RNA (1163 nucleotides) under Klebsiella sp. RNAcentral's name for it is "bacterial SSU rRNA". It matches the Rfam family "Bacterial small subunit ribosomal RNA", at positions 59 to 1211 of the family's 1533-position model. The record is from RNAcentral. Lineage: Bacteria; Pseudomonadati; Pseudomonadota; Gammaproteobacteria; Enterobacterales; Enterobacteriaceae.
CAGUCGAGCGGUAGCACAGAGAGCUUGCUCUCGGGUGACGAGCGGCGGACGGGUGAGUAAUGUCUGGGAAACUGCCUGAUGGAGGGGGAUAACUACUGGAAACGGUAGCUAAUACCGCAUAACGUCGCAAGACCAAAGUGGGGGACCUUCGGGCCUCAUGCCAUCAGAUGUGCCCAGAUGGGAUUAGCUAGUAGGUGGGGUAACGGCUCACCUAGGCGACGAUCCCUAGCUGGUCUGAGAGGAUGACCAGCCACACUGGAACUGAGACACGGUCCAGACUCCUACGGGAGGCAGCAGUGGGGAAUAUUGCACAAUGGGCGCAAGCCUGAUGCAGCCAUGCCGCGUGUGUGAAGAAGGCCUUCGGGUUGUAAAGCACUUUCAGCGAGGAGGAAGGCGUUGAGGUUAAUAACCUCAUCGAUUGACGUUACCCGCAGAAGAAGCACCGGCUAACUCCGUGCCAGCAGCCGCGGUAAUACGGAGGGUGCAAGCGUUAAUCGGAAUUACUGGGCGUAAAGCGCACGCAGGCGGUCUGUCAAGUCAGAUGUGAAAUCCCCGGGCUCAACCUGGGAACUGCAUUCGAAACUGGCAGGCUAGAGUCUUGUAGAGGGGGGUAGAAUUCCAGGUGUAGCGGUGAAAUGCGUAGAGAUCUGGAGGAAUACCGGUGGCGAAGGCGGCCCCCUGGACAAAGACUGACGCUCAGGUGCGAAAGCGUGGGGAGCAAACAGGAUUAGAUACCCUGGUAGUCCACGCCGUAAACGAUGUCUAUUUGGAGGUUGUGCCCUUGAGGCGUGGCUUCCGGAGCUAACGCGUUAAAUCGACCGCCUGGGGAGUACGGCCGCAAGGUUAAAACUCAAAUGAAUUGACGGGGGCCCGCACAAGCGGUGGAGCAUGUGGUUUAAUUCGAUGCAACGCGAAGAACCUUACCUGGUCUUGACAUCCACAGAACUUUCCAGAGAUGCAUUGGUGCCUUCGGGAACUGUGAAACAGGUGCUGCAUGGCUGUCGUCAGCUCGUGUUGUGAAAUGUUGGGUUAAGUCCCGCAACGAGCGCAACCCUUAUCCUUUGUUGCCAGCGGUUCGGCCGGGAACUCAAAGGAAACUGCCAGUGAUAAACUGGAAGGAAGGUGGGGAAUGACGUCAAGUCAUCAUGGCCCUUUACGACCAG